AUUAGCUAGUUGGUAGGGUAAUGGCCUACCAAGGCUACGAUGGUUAGCUCGUCUAAGAGGAUGGCCAGCCACACUGGAACUGAGACACGGUCCAGACUCCUACGGGAGGCAGCAGUGGGGAAUCUUGCGCAGUUGGGGAAACCCUGACGCAGCAACGCCGCGUGGGUGAUGAAGGCCUUCGGGUCGUAAACGGCUAACUCGGUGCCAGCAGCCGCGGUAAUACGGAGGGUGCAUGCGUUGUUCGGAAUUAUUGGGCGUAAAGCGAGUGCAGGCGGUUGGGUAUGUCAGAUGUGAAAGCCUUCUGCUUAACAGAAGAAGUGCAUUUGAAACUGCUCGGCUAGAGUACGGGAGAGGAGAGUGGAAUUCCCGGUGUAGAGGUGAAAUUCGUAGAUAUCGGGAGGAACACCAGUGGAG
This 414-nucleotide ribosomal RNA is filed under the name uncultured bacterium. Its description in RNAcentral is "bacterial SSU rRNA". It matches the Rfam family "Bacterial small subunit ribosomal RNA", at positions 240 to 717 of the family's 1533-position model. The record is from RNAcentral.